This 494-nucleotide ribosomal RNA is filed under the name uncultured bacterium. RNAcentral's name for it is "partial 16S ribosomal RNA". It matches the Rfam family "Bacterial small subunit ribosomal RNA", at positions 28 to 507 of the family's 1533-position model. The record is from RNAcentral.
GACGAACGCUGGCGGCGUGCUUAACACAUGCAAGUCGAACGGAAAGGCCUGCUUUCCCUUGUGGAUUGCGGGUACUCGAGUGGCGAACGGGUGAGUAACACGUGAGUGAUCUGCCCCCAACUUGGGUAUAAGCCUGGGAAACUGGGUCUAAUUCCCGAUAGGACUGCAGGGUGGUGCCUGUGGUGGAAAACGAUUUUCUAGUGGUUGGGGAUGAGCUCGCGGCCUAUCAGCUUGUUGGUGGGGUAAUGGCCUACCAAGGCGGCGACGGGUAGCCGGCCUGAGGGGGUGGACGGCCACAUUGGGACUGAGAUACAGCCCAGACUCCUACGGGAGGCAGCAGUGGGGAAUAUUGCACAAUGGGCGGAAGCCUGAUGCAGCGACGCCGCGUGGGGGAUGACGGCCUUCGGGUUGUAAACUCCUUUCGACCGCGAGGAAGCCACCUGGUUGGAAGGGUGGUGACGGUAGUGGUAGAAGAAGCACCGGCUAACUACGUG